RNAcentral lists this ribosomal RNA (372 nucleotides) under uncultured bacterium. RNAcentral's name for it is "bacterial SSU rRNA". It matches the Rfam family "Bacterial small subunit ribosomal RNA", at positions 524 to 898 of the family's 1533-position model. The record is from RNAcentral.
UACGGAAGGUCCGGGCGUUAUCCGGAUUUAUUGGGUUUAAAGGGAGCGUAGGCCGCUUUGUAAGCGUGUUGUGAAAUUUGCCGGCUCAACCGGUAACUUGCAGCGCGAACUGCAGAGCUUGAGUGUGCGCAACGUUGGCGGAAUUCGUCGUGUAGCGGUGAAAUGCUUAGAUAUGACGAAGAACUCCGAUUGCGAAGGCAGCUGACGGGAGCACUACUGACGCUGAAGCUCGAAAGUGCGGGUAUCGAACAGGAUUAGAUACCCUGGUAGUCCGCACGGUAAACGAUGGAUGCCCGCUGUUUGCACGUAGUUGCAAGCGGCCAAGCGAAAGCGUUAAGCAUCCCACCUGGGGAGUACGCCGGCAACGGUGAA